Molecule: ribosomal RNA, 305 nt
Filed under: uncultured bacterium
Lineage: Bacteria
Description: bacterial SSU rRNA
Rfam family: Bacterial small subunit ribosomal RNA
Source: RNAcentral
CCCUACGGGAGGCAGCAGUGGGGAAUAUUGGGCAAUGGAGGCAACUCUGACCCAGCAACGCCGCGUGAGUGAUGAAGGUCUUCGGAUUGUAAAACUCUUUAAGUGGGGACGAAGAAAGUGACUGUACCCACAGAAUAAGCCUCGGCUAACUACGUGCCAGCAGCCGCGGUAAUACGUAGGAGGCAAGCGUUAUCCGGAAUGACUGGGCGUAAAGGGUGCGUAGGUGGUUUGACAAGUUAGUAGCGUAAUUCCGGGGCUCAACUUCGGAACUACUACUAAAACUGUUGGGCUUGAGUGCAGGAGAG